RNAcentral lists this ribosomal RNA (389 nucleotides) under uncultured Phaeobacter sp. Its description in RNAcentral is "bacterial SSU rRNA". It matches the Rfam family "Bacterial small subunit ribosomal RNA", at positions 527 to 916 of the family's 1533-position model. Lineage: Bacteria; Pseudomonadati; Pseudomonadota; Alphaproteobacteria; Rhodobacterales; Roseobacteraceae. The record is from RNAcentral.
GGAGGGGGUUAGCGUUGUUCAGAAUUACUGGGAGUAAAGCGCACGUAGGCAGAUUAAAAAGUAAGGGGUGAAAUCCCGGGGCUCAACCCCGGAACUGCCUCUUAAACUGCUGGUCUUGAGUUCGAGAGAGGUGAGUGGAAUUCCGAGUGUAGAGGUGAAAUUCGUAGAUAUUCGGAGGAACACCAGUGGCGAAGGCGGCUCACUGGCUCGAUACUGACGCUGAGGUGCGAAAGUGUGGGGAGCAAACAGGAUUAGAUACCCUGGUAGUCCACACCGUAAACGAUGAAUGCCAGUCGUCGGGUAGCAUACUAUUCGGUGACACACCUAACGGAUUAAGCAUUCCGCCUGGGGAGUACGGUCGCAAGAUUAAAACUCAAAGGAAUUGACGG